This 24-nucleotide non-coding RNA is filed under the name Arabidopsis thaliana (thale cress). Lineage: Eukaryota; Viridiplantae; Streptophyta; Magnoliopsida; Brassicales; Brassicaceae. The record is from RNAcentral.
UACCAUUCAUAAGUGCCUGCCACA